This 164-nucleotide ribosomal RNA is filed under the name Miscanthus floridulus. RNAcentral describes it as "5.8S ribosomal RNA". It matches the Rfam family "5.8S ribosomal RNA". From Rfam's summary of the family: 5.8S ribosomal RNA (5.8S rRNA) is a component of the large subunit of the eukaryotic ribosome. It is transcribed by RNA polymerase I as part of the 45S precursor that also contains 18S and 28S rRNA. Lineage: Eukaryota; Viridiplantae; Streptophyta; Magnoliopsida; Poales; Poaceae. The record is from RNAcentral.
CACAUGACUCUCGGCAACGGAUAUCUCGGCUCUCGCAUCGAUGAAGAACGUAGCAAAAUGCGAUACCUGGUGUGAAUUGCAGAAUCCCGCGAACCAUCGAGUUUUUGAACGCAAGUUGCGCCCGAGGCCUUCUGGCCGAGGGCACGUCUGCUUGGGCGUCACGC